UACGUUCCCGGGCCUUGUACACACCGCCCGUCACACCACGAAAGCGGGCAACACCCGAAGCCGGUGGCCUAACCCUUACGGGAGGGAGCCGCCGAAGGUGGGAUUGGUGAUUGGGGUG
Molecule: ribosomal RNA, 118 nt
Filed under: uncultured bacterium
Lineage: Bacteria
Description: partial 16S ribosomal RNA
Rfam family: Bacterial small subunit ribosomal RNA
Source: RNAcentral